This 253-nucleotide ribosomal RNA is filed under the name uncultured bacterium. RNAcentral's name for it is "partial 16S ribosomal RNA". It matches the Rfam family "Bacterial small subunit ribosomal RNA", at positions 524 to 776 of the family's 1533-position model. The record is from RNAcentral.
UACGUAGGUGGCAAGCGUUGUCCGGAAUUACUGGGCGUAAAGCGUGCGCAGGCGGUUUUGUAAGCCAGGUGUGAAAUCCCCGGGCUCAACCUGGGAAUGGCAUUUGGGACUGCAAGGCUGGAGUGCGGCAGAGGAGACUGGAAUUCCUGGUGUAGCAGUGAAAUGCGUAGAUAUCAGGAGGAAUACCGAUGGCGAAGGCAGGUCUCUGGGCUGACACUGACGCUCAUGCACGAAAGCGUGGGGAGCAAACAGG